ACUCCUACGGGAGGCAGCAGUGAGGAAUAUUGGACAAUGGGUGAGAGCCUGAUCCAGCCAUCCCGCGUGAAGGACGACGGCCCUAUGGGUUGUAAACUUCUUUUGUACAGGGAUAAACCUUUCCACGUGUGGAAAGCUGAAGGUACUGUACGAAUAAGCACCGGCUAACUCCGUGCCAGCAGCCGCGGUAAUACGGGAGGGUGCAAGCUGUUAGUCCGGAAUUGAUUGGUUUAAAGGGUCCGUAGGCGGAUCUGUAAGUCAGUGGUGAAAUCUCAUAGCUUAACUAUGAAACUGCCAUUGAUACUGCAGGUCUUGAGUAAGGUAGAAGUAGCUGGAAUAAGUAGUGUAGCGGUGAAAUGCAUAGAUAUUACUUAGAACACCAAUUGCGAAGGCAGGUUACUAUGUCUUAACUGACGCUGAUGGACGAAAGCGUGGGGAGCGAACAGGAUUAGAUACCCUGGUAGCGAGUAG
This 471-nucleotide ribosomal RNA is filed under the name uncultured bacterium. RNAcentral describes it as "bacterial SSU rRNA". It matches the Rfam family "Bacterial small subunit ribosomal RNA", at positions 335 to 802 of the family's 1533-position model. The record is from RNAcentral.